This 57-nucleotide transfer RNA is filed under the name Rattus norvegicus (Norway rat). Lineage: Eukaryota; Metazoa; Chordata; Mammalia; Rodentia; Muridae. The record is from Rfam by way of RNAcentral.
UAGCUCAGUGGUAGAGCGCUUGCCUAGCAGGUGCAAGGCCCUGGGUUCGAUCCCCAG